Molecule: ribosomal RNA, 891 nt
Filed under: uncultured bacterium
Lineage: Bacteria
Description: bacterial SSU rRNA
Rfam family: Bacterial small subunit ribosomal RNA
Source: RNAcentral
GCUACAGGCUUAACACAUGCAAGUCGAGGGGAAACGACAUCGAAAGCUUGCUUUUGAUGGGCGUCGACCGGCGCACGGGUGAGUAACGCGUAUCCAACCUGCCCACCACUUGGGGAUAACCUUGCGAAAGUAAGACUAAUACCCAAUGAUAUCUCUAGAAGACAUCUGAAAGGGAUUAAAGAUUUAUCGGUGAUGGAUGGGGAUGCGUCUGAUUAGCUUGUUGGCGGGGUAGCGGCCCACCAAGGCGACGAUCAGUAGGGGUUCUGAGAGGAAGGUCCCCCACAUUGGAACUGAGACACGGUCCAAACUCCUACGGGAGGCAGCAGUGAGGAAUAUUGGUCAAUGGACGAGAGUCUGAACCAGCCAAGUAGCGUGCAGGAUGACGGCCCUAUGGGUUGUAAACUGCUUUUAUAAGGGAAUAAAGUGAGUCUCGUGAGACUUUUUGCAUGUACCUUAUGAAUAAGGACCGGCUAAUUCCGUGCCAGCAGCCGCGGUAAUACGGAAGGUCCGGGCGUUAUCCGGAUUUAUUGGGUUUAAAGGGAGCGUAGGCCGGAGAUUAAGCGUGUUGUGAAAUGUAGACGCUCAACGUCUGCACUGCAGCGCGAACUGGUUUCCUUGAGUACGCACAAAGUGGGCGGAAUUCGUGGUGUAGCGGUGAAAUGCUUAGAUAUCACGAAGAACUCCGAUUGCGAAGGCAGCUCACUGGAGCGCAACUGACGCUGAAGCUCGAAAGUGCGGGUAUCGAACAGGAUUAGAUACCCUGGUAGUCCGCACGGUAAACGAUGGAUGCCCGCUGUUGGUCUGAAUAGGUCAGCGGCCAAGCGAAAGCAUUAAGCAUCCCACCUGGGGAGUACGCCGGCAACGGUGAAACUCAAAGGAAUUGACGGAAGG